CAGAAUUAAAAUGCCCAGUUAGCCAUGUCUCCUGCAGGUCGGACUAGUUAAUCCAUCUGAAGUUAAGCAGGUUUGGGCCUGGCCGGUAUUUGGUUGGGAGACCAACUGGGAAAACUGGGUUGAUGUUGG
This 129-nucleotide ribosomal RNA is filed under the name Paramormyrops kingsleyae. Lineage: Eukaryota; Metazoa; Chordata; Actinopteri; Osteoglossiformes; Mormyridae. The record is from RNAcentral.